CCUACGGGAGGCAGCAGUAAGGAAUAUUGGUCAAUGGACGGAAGUCUGAACCAGCCAUGCCGCGUGCAGGACGACGGCCCUAUGGGUUGUAAACUGCUUUUGUCAGGGAAUAAAUCAUUUUACGAGUAGAAUGUUGAAGGUACCUGAAGAAUAAGGAUCGGCUAACUCCGUGCCAGCAGCCGCGGUAAU
Molecule: ribosomal RNA, 189 nt
Filed under: uncultured bacterium
Lineage: Bacteria
Description: partial 16S ribosomal RNA
Rfam family: Bacterial small subunit ribosomal RNA
Source: RNAcentral